This is a non-coding RNA of Camelus ferus (Wild Bactrian camel), 72 nucleotides long. NCBI's taxonomy places the organism in Eukaryota, Metazoa, Chordata, Mammalia, Artiodactyla, Camelidae. The record is from Rfam.
GAGGGUGUGGCUCAGCGGCAGAGCGCGUGCUCAGCGCGCACGAGGUCCUGGGUUCAAUCCCCAGUCCCUCCA